UACGUAGGGGGCAAGCGUUGUCCGGAUUUACUGGGCGUAAAGCGCGCGUAGGCGGAGGCGUAAGUGUGGCCUGAAAGCCCCCGGCUCAACCGGGGAGGGCGGCUGCAAACUGCGCCUCUUGAGGGAUGCAGAGGAGACUGGAAUUCCCGGUGUAGCGGUGAAAUGUGUAGAGAUCGGGAGGAACACCGGUGGCGAAGGCGGGUCUCUGGGCAUUUCCUGACGCUGAGGCGCGAAAGCGUGGGGAGCAAACGGG
This 253-nucleotide ribosomal RNA is filed under the name uncultured bacterium. RNAcentral describes it as "partial 16S ribosomal RNA". It matches the Rfam family "Bacterial small subunit ribosomal RNA", at positions 524 to 776 of the family's 1533-position model. The record is from RNAcentral.